AUGCAGUUUAUGUUGCUUUUUAGUCGGCAAGGAAAGCUGCGACUACAGAAAUGGUAUGUCCCAUUGUCAGACAAAGAGAAGAAGAAGAUCACAAGAGAACUUGUUCAAACUGUUUUGGCCCGGAAACCGAAAAUGUGCAGCUUUCUUGAGUGGCGAGAUUUGAAGAUUGUUUACAAAAGAUAUGCUAGUUUGUAUUUCUGCUGUGCUAUUGAGGAUCAGGACAAUGAACUAAUUACCCUGGAAAUAAUUCAUCGUUAUGUGGAAUUACUUGACAAGUACUUUGGCAGUGUGUGUGAACUUGAUAUCAUCUUUAAUUUUGAGAAGGCUUAUUUUAUUUUGGAUGAGUUUCUUUUGGGAGGAGAAGUUCAAGAAACAUCCAAGAAAAAUGUGCUUAAAGCCAUUGAGCAGGCCGAUCUCCUGCAGGAGAGCCAGAAUGAAGAAUGGGGAGGUUUGUCUGAGGAUAUCUUAUGAUAAAGAUCAGUCUAAGGCUUUAGUCCUUUUGAAUCCCAACUUACUUAUUGGAUGCAAAAGAAGCUGAAACCCCACGUAGUGUUCUUGAAGAAAUUGGACUGACAUAACUCCUCCCUUGUUGAUGACUUCCUGUGGCAUUUCACACUGUAGAUGGUCACUGCCUUCAUGUCCAUGUUAGCUAAUGGUGUAAGAUGACGUCUUGUCAGUAUUACUGUUUUGCUAAGCUGCUUCAUUCAGGCCUACACUAAAAUUUUUUUUAAAGGGAAUUUUGGUUAGUUAAAUGAUAAGGGACUUCAGUCUGAAUUAGAAUGAUAUAAAAAGAUACCUUUUUUGGAUACCUUAAAGCUGAUAGGUUUGUUUCUCUUAAUCUGAUUACAUGUAUCUAUGAAAAUGGCACAGCCCGGUAACACAUACUUACUAAAUACUGUCUUUGGCAAAGGAAACCAUUAAAUUCGAAUGUAAAACCUGGUUUUAUGAAACCAAAGACUAGUGUAGUACUUGAUCCUAUGUGGGAAUAAAGGGAGUUGACAUGUCACAUGUAUCAAAUGAAUGAAAAUUUAACUGUUAAAACUUACCAAAAAAUCAUACCAAAGACAAUUACUGGAAACUGCAUACCUUAAAACAAAGGGAAUGCUAAAUGACUAAAAUAUUUAGUCACACAAAAUGCUGUUCUACACAAAAUGAUUUUUUUAGCCAUUCUAAAUCUGCGAUGAGGAACAGAGAUCAACUGUUUCAGAGUAGAGAGCUCAUUAUUUUUAAGACCAAGGGAUAUUGGACACCUGAGAAACUUUUCUGUGGUCAUGAUCAUUGAAUCGCUUUGUUGGAUUGUUUCUGAUGCCCCCCAAAUAAGGAGGAAAUUUUGAUUUUUCUGGAAUUCUUUAUCACAGCAUCUUAGGGAAAACCAUGUUACAAAGUGUUAAAGUCCAUGUUUAAAGCACGAAUACUCUUUCUGGGGUAGUGGGUACAGUCAAAUUUAUUUUGCCCCCCUACUGCUCCUCUCCACUUAGAAGUGCUACACACUUGAGGGCAGCUUCCGUCCACGACACUGCUUGGUUAGAAAGGUCUUAGAGAAAUAGAGACUGAUCCCGCCAUUAGAAGUGAACUGAGUGAGGCAAAGGUUUCAGCGGGCUCUCUAUAUUUUUAAAGCUAUCCAGUUGUUCGGGGAUCACUUUUUUACACCUACGUUGUAAACGUCUUCAUGGUUUACACCUUCAUUUGUAUUUGCUGGGCUCGAUUAAGCUUUGUUGUGAUUGUGACCAAUAUUCAGGCCACGUGAGCACUGUCUUACCACAUCGCCAAUGAGUGUAAUAAAUGUUCAACAUACACCACCAUAGUGUGUUUUUAAUCUCUCUUUCCAAAAGUUUGUCAAGCUGGAGAGCUGCUGAAAGAAGAAGUUUUCAUAUUUUUUUCAGUACAAGUUGAACAUUCACCUCCAUUUGUGGUGGUUGUUAAAAGCACACACAAGAUAAAUGGCAGCGGAUUUAAGGGGAGUAUUCAUGUACUUCUUCAAGCUCAUUAAAAAAUAAUGUGGAUUCCAUGCUACUGAGAGCUUAUCUACAUUUAUUUUCAAUCAAUAAAUGCCGCUUUUAAAA
RNA transcript from Condylura cristata (star-nosed mole), 2063 nucleotides. It is a transcript of the gene named adaptor-related protein complex 1, sigma 2 subunit, with no coding region annotated. The record is from RefSeq and is a predicted model, not a curated record. The transcript has 6 exons. NCBI's taxonomy places the organism in Eukaryota, Metazoa, Chordata, Mammalia, Eulipotyphla, Talpidae.